UCUCCUUUCCUCCUCCUCCUUCUCUUUUCAUGCUUUCUCUCUCCUCUCGCAAGCUCUCCUUUCCUACUCUUCUCUUCUACUUGUGUAUGUCGUUUACGGUGAUGCUUCAAGGUCAAAUUAAUGGUUUUUAAGGUCAAAUUCGACCAUGAAAAUCCUAAAUCUAGGGUUUUUGUGGUCGAAUUUUUCCUUGUUAAACCAAUUCGAGGUGAAUUUUGAAGUGUUUUAUCUAAAGAUUUUUCUGCAUGAUUGAGCAAUUUCAAAGCAAAAAUGGAGAGAGAAAAUGGCAGAUGAAGAAAGAGAAAAUGAUGAAUUUUUUUUUGUUUUAUAUUUUUGUACUGGGGUAGGCAGUGGCAAACCGGCAAUUACUCUUUACUAUGAAGCAUGUGGUUAAUGGGUUUAUCUAUAAGGGUUUUGAACUGCUGGGCAUUUGAGGGAUGCCAAUACUCCCUUCAAAAGCCACCGCUUCAAAA
Chenopodium quinoa (quinoa) is the source of this 470-nucleotide long non-coding RNA. RefSeq lists it as uncharacterized. The transcript has 2 exons. Lineage: Eukaryota; Viridiplantae; Streptophyta; Magnoliopsida; Caryophyllales; Amaranthaceae. The record is from RefSeq and is a predicted model, not a curated record.